AUCUCCAGUGCGCAGGUUCCCUGCAGAGCGGGGCGCGUGCUCCCUUUAGCGGGGAGGGGACCUCGGUUUUCUCGAAGGGCCAGAUUGCCUUGGACAGUCUGUCCGCUGGGGUUGGAGGAGUUUGGCUGCCAGAUAGAUUCUCGGAUGGGGCAGCCUAGCAGAGUGUGUGUAAAACCCUUCCACCGUCAAGAGGGGAUCCAGGCAGCCUGCGUCCUGCCCGCUCCGGGGAGCGGAGGCGGGUGUUAGUGGUUAGAGGAAACUUUCCAGCAGAGCGCCUUGCUAGAGCAAACGGCGCAUCUGUCAGGAACGCUCUCUGGGCACUGUUCUUGCAAGGAGCUUCUGUUGUUCCAGUGCAGUAGAUGCAGAAAGGAAGCGAAGGUUUGUGCAUCUGACAGCUGACACUGAGGAUCGGUUGGAAAAAUACACACUCCCCAGUCCCAGCUAAUGAAUGUAUCGUGGCAUAAAGCAGAAAAAUCUUCGUUCUACACAAAGCCAAGAGUGGCAAAGGAGACAGCUUCCAAUCAGUGGAAAUUGAACAAUUGAAUAAAUGUGUUCUUUUUAAGUGGGAGAAGAUGUGGUAGAGAAUUUAAUUUGGGAGGUCAACGUGAACACUUUUUCAAACAAGGAGUUCUGCGAUUUUCAGGAAUAGACCUGGCACAAAGCAUCUCAGAAGGGUCUUGUGGCUGGGAGAAGAAAUGGAACACAGCCACACCGGAGCACCACCGCUCCACCUCUCCAGGACAGGAGGCGUUUUGUAGUCAGUGGAAGACAUGAAUGUCCCUCAUUACUCUUUUUGUAUGUGUGAGGGUGAUUUUGGGGGAAAAUACACAACCCAGGAGACAUCCAGACAGGGAGGCUGUUCUCACUGGCGACAUUUGUGCCGCAUUCUUCCUUGCUCCUGGUGUGCAUUGCAACACUCAGACGGGUGGCUCUGGGAGCCAAGUGGCUGAUUGGAAUCCCCAGGAGGCAGCAAAUACAAAUUAAUCUUCAGGCCCACCAGUUCCCCUGAAACAUACCACUUGUUAAACUAUGACUUCCAAGCCAAGAGCAGCAAUUUUCCACAGUUCAAGUCUGGAAAAGGCUAUGAAACCACAUGGGUCAGGAGACCAAAGAUGGUUUAUUGCUAUUUUGAAUGGAGCACCAGAAGGACAACUCCAAAAUUCCAGAUGUGCAGCAGCUGGAUAAAGUGGUGUCCACAAAUAUGUGUCGCAGCUUUAGAAAGGCAACUGCUGGAGGCUUUUAAAAACAGACCAUUGACUUCCUUCUCUUUUCUUUCCUUUUUUUUAAAAAAAAAAAAAAAGCUUAUCUGAACCUCUGGACUUACUUGUUU
RNAcentral lists this long non-coding RNA (1330 nucleotides) under Equus asinus (donkey). Its description in RNAcentral is "lncRNA (ENSEASG00005026660.1)". Lineage: Eukaryota; Metazoa; Chordata; Mammalia; Perissodactyla; Equidae. The record is from RNAcentral.